This 210-nucleotide long non-coding RNA is filed under the name Vigna radiata. Its description in RNAcentral is "long non-coding RNA (VRAD_LNC001146)". Lineage: Eukaryota; Viridiplantae; Streptophyta; Magnoliopsida; Fabales; Fabaceae. The record is from RNAcentral.
ACACAUCCCGGAUCUUUUACCUUAAGUGGAUGAUCCCUCUUCAGAGGUUGAACAACAAAAUCCUCCUCUUCAUCAGUGAGUUCAGUUUCUUCUUCAAGAUUGAAGUUGAUUCUUUCAACAUAGGGAGGAAUUUGCAGAUUUACUGCAAGUACCACAGUCACUUGGUUGAAGAUCUCUCUAAGUCUCCCGUCAUGACUGUUUUCAACUCGC